This 4684-nucleotide long non-coding RNA is filed under the name Nilaparvata lugens (brown planthopper). Its description in RNAcentral is "uncharacterized LOC111052362". Lineage: Eukaryota; Metazoa; Arthropoda; Insecta; Hemiptera; Delphacidae. The record is from RNAcentral.
UACAAUAGGCCGUGUCUAUUCUAUAACUGGUCUAAGGCUAAAACAAUGUUUUUUUCACUUUGAAUCGUGACUUGAUGGACGCUCUAAGUGUUUAGGUAUAAUUAAUUUUUGUUGAUACCGGUUGCUGAAGGUUCUUGAAAGCUUUAUCGCAGAAUCAACGUUCUAAAUCGUGCAAUUUAUGGAAUCAAGCAACCCAUUCAACAAUUUGUCUUCCAGAACACUCAUGAUAGUUGAAAUGUAAUUGCAUACAGAUUGUUCAUCUCCAAUUACUGCUGAUCAACUGAAAAUUGCUAAAGAAGUAGAGAAAGUAUUGUCAAAAACAUCACCUGGAACUAAGAUGGUCGAUUCAUUUGAGAUAGAUGAAACCGAAAUUGAAACAGAAUCAGAAAAGUUGGGAAAUAAGAAGACUACUCACACAGGUAGAAAGAAGAAAAGCAGAAUUGAUCUUGAAGAAGAAAACAAGAAGCUUAAAGAGCAGAUAGCUGAACUGCAAAACAUCCAAAAUUCUGAUCAGCCAAGUUCUACUUGUGAUGAUGAUACAGGAAUAUCAGAGAUCAAAGAAAAAAUGAAUCGAUGAGAUAGUAUAAAAAAUACUUUUGUCCAUUCUGCCAUGAGCUUCAGCACCAUUUCUCAAGACAUCUUUUGAACAACCACAAACAGGAAGAUGAAUUCAGGAGGGGUUAGAAAAGAUUAUGUUUUAUCCUAUUUCUCCUAUUAAGGAGGGAGCAGAAUAGUUUUGCCCAUCAUAGCCUGCCACUGAGUUUGUAGCCUCAACAAAUGUGUCUUAAUGAGUUGGUGAAAAUGCAUCAUCAAGAUUAUUUAUGAAACAAUCAAUUUCUUUCAUUUUCGAUGCUACUUUCACCACCUGGCGAAGUUUGGUUCUUAUCAUGUUUUCAGAUGUUGUUCUUUAUUUCGAACACACAAGUAACUGCCAUAAUCAAGUAUGGUCUCAUCCUUCAAUAUGUGAUUAUACACCUCAUUGUGAUCCAUCCCUGGCAAAACUACUUUUUUCAACAUAGGAUGUAUUUUUUGUUUAUCUGCUCUUCAAUCACGAUGGCACUUGAUCUUAUUUGAAGGUCUUUUGGAACAAUUUUUCCCCCAGUACAAAGUUUAUAAUGACGCCACAACGUAGAUUUCGUGUAAAAAUUAUGGCUUCAUUGAUUUUUCACUGACAUCUUGUUUGCGACGACAAUAAGUUCACCUUUAUUCAAAUUGAAAUCGGUAUUGAAUAUUAGGGAGCCUCACCCUCUAAUUCUAGCUAUCAAAUCGUUACGUACUUUUGAAUUAGGUUCCAGGGAAGCAAGUUUGGUAAAGCAGUAAUUUUCAAGGUAAAAUAAUUUUUAUUUUCAUAACUUUAAAUUUAAAGAAUGAUUAACAUUGUGGCUUCAAACUCAGUUGCUUAAGGCUGUGCAACAGGCUUUUGGAAACUUUUUACUGGUGAUUUUUUUAAAGUUUUUCGAUUUGGAUACUAUUAAACUAUCAAAAUAAAAAGCCUUUCUGUGGAAACAUUUGUUUUCAUUAUUACUUUUUGAGAUAUGAGUGCCUAAAGUUUAAAUUUGUGGAACAGAUCAUGUCAAGUUUGGUAACAGAUAAAUCCAUUAAAUUUUUAUACAUUCUUCACGGUAUUGUUCAAUAUUAAUGGAGAAAUUUCUUUUGAAAAUUAUAAUUUUUGAUAGUUAUUUCAUUUUCUAAAAAUGACUCAAACAAAAAUUGUUAAAAUUCUCAAUUUCUUCAUUAAUUGAACAACAGCGUCGAGAAUUAAUGUUCAAGAUUUAAUGGAUCUAUAACCAAAUUUGAGAUAAUCUGUUCCGAAAAUUUAAAAUUUAGGCGCUCAUAUCUCAGAGUAAUAAUAAUAAAAAAAUGUCCUACAAAAAUCAAAAGUAUCUAAAAAUCUCAGUAUCCAAAUCAAAAAAUAUCACCAGUAAAAUGUUUCUAAAAAACCUGUUGCACACAGCCUAAUACAAACUUAUCUCGAUUCUAUUGCAGAAAAUAUCAAAAUAAAACCUUUGAUUAUGGAUACGUUAAUGUUAAUCCCUUCCAAAACCAACUUGGUCCAUCUUAGAAAAACUUUCUUCUAAUUUACUGACUAGAAGUAACAUUUUGUGUCACUAGUAGAAUUACCCUACCUAUAGUAGGUAGUAUUCAUUUAAUAAUUAUAUACUAUAAUGUUUAGUAUAAUGAAGAACAAAGUACCCUUUCAUUAUAUUUUUAUUAACAAGACAUGUUUUGGCUUAUAAUGCCAUUUUAAAGUGUCGAAAAGUAUUAGUUAAAGAAUAGUUUUUUUGUAUUAAUUCCAAGAACUUUCAACUUUCGAGAUUUGAUUCGAGUAAUUUUCAAAAUUGCUGAUUAAUGAAUUAUAUUGAAAAAUCUUCAGUACAUCUUAUGUACUAAUUAUAGUUUAUUGAACCAUGACGAACUAUGACUUCACUUGAGAUUUUUCACUUUAAUACUGACAUGCAAUCAUUAUUUUAAAUUCAAUAGGAAAUUUGCCUAUUUAUAGACUGGAGCUUAUCUGUUGAGGAUGGGUUCAAUUGAACUAGAAAAUUGAAUGAAAAAGACUAAGAAAUUGUCAAAAAACCACUGAUUUAUUGAUUUAUUUCAGUUUAUCAGAGAUUGACAAUGGUGUAAUAACCGAAACCGGUCUUUCUAAUUAUCAAUAAAUCAGUGGUUUUUUGACAAUUUCUUAGUCUUUUUCAUUCAAUAUGAAUAAUUAGCACAAUAUCAACUUGUCAACUACACAAAAAGUGAAACUAGAAAAUCCUCCAGUCUGUAAGUCGGAAAAUUUUCUCUUAAAUAAACAUUAUUACUACAUGUCAGUAUCGAAAUGAAAAAUUGUAAGUAAUGUAGUGAUUUUCUUUGUCAGAAAUUCAUGUUGAGUUAUGAUAAGAUUUUAGACUUUGUAAGACUAAGUCAAUAUCAUGGCUACUACUAUUAGUAGUCAAUUGUGCUUCUACAAGAAGAAUUAUCAUAGAUUGAAAUUUUUGUUUAUUUUAUUCGUGUUUUUUAGCAAAAAAUCAUUUUUUGAAAUUCAUGUUGAGUUAUGAUAAGAUUUUAGACUUUGUAAGACUAAGUCAAUAUCAUGGCUACUACUAUUAGUAGUCAAUUGUGCUUCUACAAGAAGAAUUAUCAUAGAUUGAAAUUUUUGUUUAUUUUAUUCGUGUUUUUUAGCAAAAAAUCAUUUUUUCGAAUUAAGUAAUAAUUUUAAUAUUAUCUGUUAGAUUUUAUUUUCUUUACAAUAUGUUACUGAACUUUUAUGAUGAGCAUGUAAUUUAUUAUAAAUUACGAGAGGGAAAAGUUUUUCUAUUGUGUGAGGUAGGCUGUAUAUGAAACAGCAACCUGCAUACUAGAUAAUGAUUAUGUACAUUACAAUAGAUUAUUAAUUAACUUCUCACUUCUUUGUAUGGCAUUCUGUGCAACUGCUUCUUUAAAAUAACAUUUCAUAAGUAAUUUAUGUAAUUUUUCAAGACUUUUAUGGGAUAACAAAAUCUUUUUCGUAGCAUUAUAUUUUAUCAAAUCAAAUCCAGUAUUAUCAUUCUUGUCUCAAUAAUUUAUUGAAUUUUUAUGCUGGACAUGAGUCAUGAAUGUAGCAAUAAAUAUGUAGCCAUGUAGUAGUGUUUGAUCUAGCAAUUGAAGUGACGUUCAGAUCGACCACCCUCCGCGCAUGUGCAAUAAUAAGGCUAGUAGUUUUAUUUUAACAGUACAAAGUAAUCAUAAAAGUGCGUACAGAUAUACGCGCCGCGAACAUGAGCGAUUCACUUUUAAUCUGCUGAUGCCAAGCUUUUUAUAUCUGUAUCUUACCGUUUCUGUAAAAAUACAGAUAUAGUCAGCUGAUUAAAAGUGAAUUGCUCAUGUUCGCACCUUCAUUGAAAAGCAUGCAAUCCAGAGGUGAACUCGAAGUCCAUCUAGCGAUCCAUCUAAUUGCUGGGCAUUUGAUUACAAAAAUCUCUUUUAAAACAGCUGUCUGUGUAUGAAUGUUUGUUGCACAAUAAAGCUGGAUUCCCAGACAACAGUAAUAGUGAACAGUGAAAAUAUAAUUCCCAUUAGUUCAAAUAGAAUUAUUCAUAUGGCCUGAGUGUGAAUAGUUCAAUUAGAACUCGUGGGAAUAAUAUUUUCACUGUAGUGUGGGAAUCCAGCUUAAUAAGGAUCUCUACAAGCAGUACGACAGCAAUCAUCCAUACACGGGCAGUAAACUGUCUCAGCUGUUUGAAAAAUGUUUUAAACUUGAAUUUUUGACUAUUAUAAUAUAUUGUGUAAAACGCAGUUAAUAGCUUCAUUACGCAUGCGCAACAGGUUGUCGGCGGUGGCUGGUUUCUACCAAGAUCCGAACGCCACCUUCAAGUAAAAUAUUAUUUCCUUCCAUUAUGUCAUGACCUGACUAAGUCAGGUAGGCCUGUAUUGAACUGCUACUUCUAAAAUGAAUUUAAUGAUGAAACUUUAAAUAAGAUUAAUUGAAUGAUCAUUUAAUAAGAUUAAUUCAAUAAUAUAUAUUAUAUAUACAUUAUAUUAUUGCAACUGCUACUCCAGAAUAACAUAAUUGUUUGUAUUCUUCACACAUUUAAAUCAUGUACAGUACUAUAAUACCAAUUUUAUGAAUUGUAAAUGUGUUAUAAUGAUCAAAUAUUGAUUCAUGAAGCCUUAGCCUAUAUCACUGUUUUGAGCAAUAAAGUGAACAAUUAUAAACUCA